Non-coding RNA from Brachypodium distachyon (stiff brome), 135 nucleotides. The record is from Rfam. NCBI's taxonomy places the organism in Eukaryota, Viridiplantae, Streptophyta, Magnoliopsida, Poales, Poaceae.
AACAUACUUAUUCCGUUCAACAAAGGUUGUCUCAGUUUUGAUCAAAUUUAAAUGCAUCUAUAUACUAAGUCAUGUUUAGAUACAUCCAAAUUUUGACAAAUUUGAGACAUCUUUUGUUGGACGGAGGAGUACAUA